UACGUAGGGUGCAAGCGUUGUCCGGAAUUAUUGGGCGUAAAGAGCUCGUAGGCGGUCUGUCACGUCGGCUGUGAAAACCCGAGGCUCAACCUCGGGUCUGCAGUCGAUACGGGCAAACUAGAGUAUUGCAGGGGAGACUGGAAUUCCUGGUGUAGCGGUGAAAUGCGCAGAUAUCAGGAGGAACACCGGUGGCGAAGGCGGGUCUCUGGGCAAUAACUGACGCUGAGGAGCGAAAGCUAGGGGAGCAAACGGG
RNAcentral lists this ribosomal RNA (253 nucleotides) under uncultured bacterium. RNAcentral describes it as "partial 16S ribosomal RNA". It matches the Rfam family "Bacterial small subunit ribosomal RNA", at positions 524 to 776 of the family's 1533-position model. The record is from RNAcentral.